RNAcentral lists this small RNA (125 nucleotides) under Marmota monax (woodchuck). Lineage: Eukaryota; Metazoa; Chordata; Mammalia; Rodentia; Sciuridae. The record is from RNAcentral.
GCUGGGCGUGGUGGCACAUGCCUGUAAUCCCAAAGGCUCAGGAGGCUGAGGCAGGAGGAUUGCAAAUUCAAAACCAGCCUCAGCAAAAAUGAAGUGCUAAGCAACUCGGUGAGACCCUGUCUCUA